RNAcentral lists this ribosomal RNA (198 nucleotides) under uncultured bacterium. RNAcentral describes it as "partial 16S ribosomal RNA". It matches the Rfam family "Bacterial small subunit ribosomal RNA", at positions 328 to 539 of the family's 1533-position model. The record is from RNAcentral.
ACGCUCGACACCUACGGGAGGUAGCAGUGGGGAAUAUUGCACAAUGGAGGAAACUCUGAUGCAGCGAUGCCGCGUGAGGGAAGAAGGUUUUCGGAUUGUAAACCUCUGUCUUUGGGGACGAUAAUGACGGUACCCAAGGAGGAAGCUCCGGCUAACUACGUGCCUGCAGCCGCGGUAAUCUGAGCGGGCUGGCAAGGC